GUCUUCGCGGUGUAGUGGUCAGCACGCUCGGCGUGUAUUCGAGAUGUCCGUGGUUCGAGUCCCGGCGAGGGCA
This is a non-coding RNA of Stegodyphus mimosarum, 73 nucleotides long. The record is from Rfam. NCBI's taxonomy places the organism in Eukaryota, Metazoa, Arthropoda, Arachnida, Araneae, Eresidae.